UGUUAAAAAUUUUAUCUAUUUUUUCAGUUAAAAACUAGUGUAGCUGAUAGAAUAACCAGAUAAUUACACAUAAUGUGUCAUGUGUACCUUAUGCUAACGUACAUAGAUCAAUUUUUAAUAGUAGAAAUAAAUAGAAUUUUUAAAA
Molecule: non-coding RNA, 145 nt
Organism: Gossypium hirsutum (cotton)
Lineage: Eukaryota; Viridiplantae; Streptophyta; Magnoliopsida; Malvales; Malvaceae
Source: Rfam